GUCUGGUGAACAACUUUUCAGUCAUUCAGAAGCCACGCGGGAUACUAAACACUUUGGACGUUAAAACGCUAAUCCAGAAAACGUAACAGCCACAUCAGCAUGGAUGCAGCAACGAAGAUCUUGCUGCUCAUGGCACUUGUAGUCACCGCUGCCAACGCCACGGAUAUGCGGCCGGACUUCUGCCCCGAGAAUCCGUGCAGCGCCGUCUUCUGCGGUCUGGGCUCCCGAUGUGCGACGGUGACGACGCAGCAAGACGGCAGACUAGGCUGCAAAGCGCGCUGCCUCGACGCUGCGACUGCGCAGUAGCCUUCGGUCGCUGCCGGACCGACCUCUGACGUGAUGGAAAUGAAACAUGUAGCGUGGAAAAGGAGGAGGCUGUCCACAGCAGACUGGGUAGCUCAAGUAGCUAAUCACAGCCCAUGACAGACGACUGAACCGCGAGCGUACUUAUAGUCUUAUCGAAAAUAACUCAAUGUAUUGAACAUACUGCCAAUGUAUGACAAUCUGAAUCAAUAAAUUUUAAGCCGAAAAGAA
This is a long non-coding RNA of Schistocerca gregaria, 534 nucleotides long. RefSeq lists it as uncharacterized. The record is from RefSeq and is a predicted model, not a curated record. Lineage: Eukaryota; Metazoa; Arthropoda; Insecta; Orthoptera; Acrididae. The transcript has 3 exons.